GUAGGGUGCGAGCGUUGUCCGGAAUUAUUGGGCGUAAAGGGCUCGUAGGCGGUCUGUCACGUCGGGAGUGAAAACUCAGGGCUUAACCCUGAGCCUGCUUCCGAUGCGGGCAGACUAGAGGUAUGCAGGGGAGAACGGAAUUCCUGGUGUAGCGGUGAAAUGCGCAGAUAUCAGGAGGAACACCGGUGGCGAAGGCGGUUCUCUGGGCAUUACCUGACGCUGAGGAGCGAAAGUGUGGGGAGCGAACAGGAUUAGAUACCCUGGUAGUCCACACCGUAAACGUUGGGCGCUAGGUGUGGGACUCAUUCCACGAGUUCCGUGCCGCAGCUAACGCAUUAAGCGCCCCGCCUGGGGAGUACGGCCGCAAGGCUA
Molecule: ribosomal RNA, 372 nt
Filed under: uncultured bacterium
Lineage: Bacteria
Description: bacterial SSU rRNA
Rfam family: Bacterial small subunit ribosomal RNA
Source: RNAcentral